This 253-nucleotide ribosomal RNA is filed under the name uncultured bacterium. RNAcentral's name for it is "partial 16S ribosomal RNA". It matches the Rfam family "Bacterial small subunit ribosomal RNA", at positions 524 to 776 of the family's 1533-position model. The record is from RNAcentral.
GACAGAGGUUGCAAACGUUGUUCGGAAUCACUGGGCAUAAAGCGCACGUAGGCGGCCAACUAAGUCAGAUGUGAAAUCCCCCGGCUCAACCGAGGAACUGCGUCUGAUACUGAUUGGCUUGAGAAUGGUAGGGGUGAGCGGAACUCCAGGUGGAGCGGUGAAAUGCGUAGAUAUCUGGAGGAACACCGGUGGCGAAAGCGGCUCACUGGACCAUAACUGACGCUGAGGUGCGAAAGCUAGGGUAGCAAACGGG